Molecule: ribosomal RNA, 414 nt
Filed under: uncultured bacterium
Lineage: Bacteria
Description: bacterial SSU rRNA
Rfam family: Bacterial small subunit ribosomal RNA
Source: RNAcentral
GGGCCCGCACAAGCGGUGGAGCAUGUGGUUUAAUUCGAUGAUACGCGAGGAACCUUACCAGGGCUUAAAUGGGAAAUGACAGGGGCAGAGACGCCCCCUUCUUCGGACAUUUUUCAAGGUGCUGCAUGGUUGUCGUCAGCUCGUGCCGUGAGGUGUCAGGUUAAGUCCUAUAACGAGCGCAACCCCUACCGUUAGUUGCCAGCGUGUAAUGACGGGGACUCUAACGGAACUGCCGGUGCAAACCGUGAGGAAGGUGGGGACGACGUCAAAUCAUCACGGCCCUUACGUCCUGGGCCACACACGUGCUACAAUGGUAGGUACAGAGGGAAGCCACCCCGCGAGGGGGUGCUAAUCCUAGAAAGUUCUUCGUAGUCCGGAUUGGAGUCUGCAACUCGACUGCAUGAAGCUGGAAUC